UACGAAGGGGGCUAGCGUUGCUCGGAAUGACUGGGCGUAAAGGGCGCGUAGGCGGCCUGGUUAGUUAGAUGUGAAAUUCCUGGGCUUAACCUGGGGACUGCAUUUAAUACAGCCAAGCUUGAGUGUGGAAGAGGGUCGUGGAAUUCCCAGUGUAGAGGUGAAAUUCGUAGAUAUUGGGAAGAACACCGGUGGCGAAGGCGGCGACCUGGUCCAUUACUGACGCUGAGGCGCGAAAGCGUGGGGAGCAAACAGG
Molecule: ribosomal RNA, 253 nt
Filed under: uncultured bacterium
Lineage: Bacteria
Description: partial 16S ribosomal RNA
Rfam family: Bacterial small subunit ribosomal RNA
Source: RNAcentral